Molecule: ribosomal RNA, 253 nt
Filed under: uncultured bacterium
Lineage: Bacteria
Description: partial 16S ribosomal RNA
Rfam family: Bacterial small subunit ribosomal RNA
Source: RNAcentral
UCCGGAGGGUGCGAGCGUUAUCCGGAAUCACUGGGUUUAAAGGGUGCGUAGGCGGCUAGGUAAGUCAGGGGUGAAAGCUUCCCGCUCAACGGGAGAACUGCCUUUGAUACUGCCUGGCUCGAAUUGGGUUGAGGCUGGCGGAAUGUGGCAUGUAGCGGUGAAAUGCUUAGAUAUGCCAUAGAACACCGAUUGCGAAGGCAGCCAGCCAAGCCUUGAUUGACGCUGAGGCACGAAAGCGUGGGGAGCGAACAGG